CCUACGGGUGACAGCAGUGGGGAAUAUUGCACAAUGGGGGAAACCCUGAUGCAGCAACGCCGCGUGAGUGAUGACGGCCUUCGGGUUGUUAAGCUCUUUCUUCAGGGGCGAUAAUGACGGUACCUGAGGAGGAAUCCACGGCUAACUACGUGCCAGCAGCCGCGGUAAUACGUCGGUGGCGAGCGUUGUCCGGAUUUACUGGGCGUAAAGGGGGCGUAGGCGGACUUUUAAGUGAGAUGUGAAAUACUCGGGCUCAACUUGAGUGCUGCAUUUCAAACUGGAAGUCUAGAGUGCAGGAGAGGAGAAUGGAAUUCCUAGUGUAGCGGUGAAAUGCGUAGAGAUUAGGAAGAACACCAGUGGCGAAGGCGAUUCUCUGGACUGUAACUGACGCUGAGGCUCGAAAGCGUGGGGAGCAAACAGGAUUAGAUACCCGAGUAGUC
This 440-nucleotide ribosomal RNA is filed under the name uncultured bacterium. RNAcentral describes it as "partial 16S ribosomal RNA". It matches the Rfam family "Bacterial small subunit ribosomal RNA", at positions 338 to 795 of the family's 1533-position model. The record is from RNAcentral.